GUGUUUUAUGAAAGGAGAGAACAUUGCCAGUCUCCUUGAGGAGGCUGGAAGAGGCUCUUGAAACUGGGAAUAAACAUUGGAUCAGGCACUGCCGCCUACUUCUCAUCAUCUCUCAUUCUUU
Molecule: small nuclear RNA, 121 nt
Organism: Nycticebus coucang (slow loris)
Lineage: Eukaryota; Metazoa; Chordata; Mammalia; Primates; Lorisidae
Source: RefSeq, a predicted model, not a curated record